GACGAACGCUGGCGGCGUGCCUAAUACAUGCAAGUCGAACGCACUCUCGUUUAGAUUGAAGGAGCUUGCUCCUGAUUGAUAACAUUUGAGUGAGUGGCGGACGGGUGAGUAACACGUGGGUAACCUGCCCUAAAGUGGGGGAUAACAUUUGGAACAGAUGCUAAUACCGCAUAAACCUAACACCGCAUGGGUGUAGGGUUGAAAGAUGGUUUCGGCUAUCACUUUAGGAUGGACCCCGCGGUGCAUUAGUUAGUUGGGUGAGGUAAAGGCUCACCAAGACCGUGAUGCAUAGCCGACCUGAGAGGGUAAUCGGCCACACUGGGACUGAGACACGGCCCAGACUCCUACGGGAGGCAGCAGUAGGGAAUCUUCCACCAAUGGACGAAAGUCUGAUGGA
RNAcentral lists this ribosomal RNA (397 nucleotides) under uncultured bacterium. RNAcentral describes it as "bacterial SSU rRNA". It matches the Rfam family "Bacterial small subunit ribosomal RNA", at positions 28 to 390 of the family's 1533-position model. The record is from RNAcentral.